RNAcentral lists this unclassified non-coding RNA (6771 nucleotides) under Neodiprion pinetum (white pine sawfly). RNAcentral describes it as "protein lap4-like, transcript variant X7". Lineage: Eukaryota; Metazoa; Arthropoda; Insecta; Hymenoptera; Diprionidae. The record is from RNAcentral.
CGUAAUGAGGUUAACUAAGGUUAAUAAAUACAUCUGAAGAUGGCGGUACUAUCAAAGAGUCUAUUUUCAAUAUCUAUUAUCGCCGUGACGUUCGUGGUUGAAUAAGGGAGGGGUACUUCUUGUGCGCCGUGUUUGUCGUGUCGUUUUGGUGAGACGUGAUGACGUCAGACUUGAAGGCUCGAGCCGUGUUUGAAGCCGAAAAGGGCGUGAAAGUGUGGUGUGCUCAUCAUUUUAUAUAAUUUAUUUCAUUAGAAAUAUGUACAAAUAGGUGUAGUGUCUGAGUGAAUUGUUAAUUAUGUUCGGUGCUGUCUGUGCGUGAUAGAAAACAUGUUUCGUUGUAUACCGAUAUUCAAAGGGUGUAACAGGCAGGUGGAAUACGUUGACAAGCGUCACUGCUCGUUGCCUAGUGUUCCCGAGGAUAUUCUACGUUAUUCACGUAGUUUGGAAGAAUUACUUCUAGACGCGAAUCACAUACGUGACUUGCCGAAGAAUUUCUUUCGUCUGCAAAGACUUCGACGAUUAGGACUAAGUGACAAUGAAAUACACCGCUUGCCGCCCGAUAUUCAAAAUUUUGAAAACCUCGUGGAGCUGGACGUGUCAAGAAAUGAUAUACCGGAUAUACCUGAAAACAUCAAGAAUUUGCGAGCUCUACAGGUGGCUGAUUUUAGCAGCAAUCCUAUACCUAAGUUACCAGCUGGGUUUGUGCAGCUGAGGAAUCUGACUGUUUUGGGUUUGAAUGAUAUGUCGCUAACGAACUUGCCAUCAGAUUUUGGAAGUUUAGAAGCGCUGCAAUCCUUGGAAUUAAGAGAAAAUUUACUCAAGUCACUGCCAGAAUCGCUUUCUCAGUUAUUGAAACUUGAACGAUUGGACCUCGGGGACAAUGAAAUCGAAGAGUUGCCAGUACACAUAGGGAAAUUGCCGGCGUUGCAAGAGUUGUGGCUAGAUCACAAUCAGCUGCAACACUUGCCACCUCAAAUUGGAGAGUUGACUACAUUAGCUUGCCUCGAUGUGUCAGAGAACAGGUUGGAGGAUCUUCCGGAAGAGAUUGGUGGUCUUGUUUCGCUCACAGACCUGCACUUAUCCCAGAACGUUAUUGAAAAGCUGCCUGAUGGGCUCGGCAAGUUGAAGAAACUGACAAUUCUAAAGGUGGAUCAAAAUAGGUUGUCUGCUCUAAACCACAACGUUGGCAGUUGUGAAAAUCUCCAGGAGCUUAUUUUAACGGAAAAUUUCCUCUUGGAGUUGCCGCCGUCUAUUGGAAACCUACUAAACCUAAAUAAUUUGAAUGUGGAUCGAAACAGCCUUCAGUUUCUUCCUACAGAAAUUGGCAAUUUACUGAAGUUGGGCGUCCUCUCCUUGCGUGAUAAUAAAUUGCAAUAUCUUCCGAAUGAAGUCGGUAAAUGUACAGCUCUCCAUGUCUUGGACGUGUCCGGUAACAGAUUGCAGUACUUGCCAUACUCGUUGAUCAAUUUAAACUUAAAAGCAGUUUGGUUAAGUGAAAACCAGGCUCAGCCAAUGCUGACAUUCCAGACAGACAUUGAUGACGAAACGGAACAGGAAGUACUCACAUGUUUUCUUUUGCCACAGCUUGAAUAUCAUCCCGAAAAUCAACAUGAUAGAGGAAGGUUAAGUACGUUGACCGGGAUCCGAGAUACGAUUGUAGGAGAAGAAAUGAGAGAAGUGGGAAGCAGCGAUGACGAGGGUUGGCAAGAAAGGGAGGCUUCACGUACACAUUCCGUCAAGUUUACAGACGAAGCACCAGAGACUGACAAGGAGACUCGAUGUAUUACUUGUGAUCACCACUUACAUCUGGUACAAUUCACAUAUUUUCACCUUGAAGAACUAUCGACACCAUUUGUACGUCAGAACACGCCUCAUCCUAAGGAAUUGAAGGCUAAGGCUCACAAGCUGUUUGGUAAAGGCAAAAAUGAAAGCCGCUCAGGAUCAACUGAGGAGCAGGAUGUUUCCCAAACUUUUGGUUUGGAUAAAAUAGAAUCAGAGGAACAAACAAAAGGUACAGAAUUGGAAAAUUUUAUAACUGCUGAACAGGAAAAUCAGCCUUUACAGAAUUUCGUUGAAGUCGACAAGUUCGGACACAGUGUGUCCGCUUUGGAAGCGUUGGAUGACAUUCGCGAUGUUCCUAUACCAAACGAACAAUCGCCUGUCCCGCCCCAACAGCUUUCCGACCAGAAUACCUUGCAGGAUGCAGAAAUAGAGAGACUGCUGCCCGAUGCUAAAAUUAAAGACGAUUCCGACGAGGAAGACGUACAAAGGCACGUUGAAUUUUCAGUAACAGAAGGGUCAAAUAACGACGAAAGUAUGGGAGAAGUAGGCAGACCUAACAGGCUGCAUCGGCGAGAUACCCCCCAUCAUUUGAAAAAUAAACGAAUUCACACGUUAAUCGAUAAGGACAAAGUUGCUUCCAUUAUCGCACAGGCAUUAUUGAAAAAAGGUGAUGAGCUUCCAGUAUCACCCUUACCUCCAAUGGACACCACAGACGACCAACACUGUCCAGAUACAGUAUCAGAUGCAGAGCCAUCGAUAGAAGUGCGUGAAGAACAAUAUGAGAUUCACAUAGAAAGAACAACGGGAGGUCUUGGCCUAUCCAUAGCUGGUGGUAUAGGAUCGACCCCGUUCAAGGGGGACGAUGAAGGAAUUUUUAUUUCACGAGUAACAGAGGGAGGACCCGCAGAACUAGCUGGACUCCGAGUGGGAGAUAAAGUAAUUGCUGUUAAUGGAGUGUCAGUCGUUAACGUGGAUCACUAUGAUGCUGUGGAAGUUUUAAAAGCGUGUGGCCGUGUUCUUGUGUUAGUUGUUCUCAGAGAGGUCACCAGAAUAAUUCCAUCAUCAGAGCAAACGUCAAUAAGGAAAGAUUCGGUGUGUUCAAGUUUGAGCACUAGCCGAGCCCCUAGUGCAACAUCUUAUGUAUCGUCUACUCUCUCGCAUCAUCUUGAAAAUGGAGAGAACCAAUUUACACCUCACGAUACUCCGAAGAUAAAAAAAAUACCUGAUCCAAUUCCAAAUGCCAGAGCAAGCAGCGAGCCUAUGAUGACUGUAUUAGUGCACACUACGCUCAUUCGGGACCAAAAUGGUCUGGGAUUUAGUAUUGCUGGUGGCAAAAGCUCUCCACCUUUCAAAGAUAAUACCGAUGCAAUAUACAUCUCGAGAAUUACUGAUGGAGGCGUUGCACAAAAGGAUGGAAAAUUGAUGGUUGGAGACAAAGUUAUAUCGAUAAAUGGAGUCGAAAUGACUGGUGCCAAGCACGAACAAGCUGUAGGCAUGCUUACUGGUCUGGAGAGAUUCGUUAGACUAGUAGUUGAACGCGAAAUACCCUUAUCUCAGGCGAAUCCUUCUAAUCCGUUGACCCCGUCAGAAAAAUCUCCACGAGUCAUCGGAACACCGCGCCCGUACACGGGACUUUACAAUGCCAACAGUUAUAUGGCGAAUAGGCCGGGAUAUGCAGGGUAUCGCCGCUCUAUGGACGCGGAUAAAAACUUGACGCAAAGCCCAACAUCUAAAACGCCUCCUCCUACCAACGCUGAGGUUGUGAACGGAGCUUCUAAAGUCAAUGGAAUUACCGAAACUGUGAAUCCUCUCAGAAAUUCCACACCAGCAAUGUUGUCUGGCGCUAAUAACGUAAACCAGCCACACCCACAGUCACAACCACAACCACAACCACAGCCAGCUCCGCGGCAUAGCGUUUCUCAAACAGCAUCCGUUGUUGUUCCCGCGCCAUCUGUAGAGCGAGAAUCAAGGCCGGCUUCACCACAGGAGGAUAUACAGGUACCGAAGCCAAUCACCAACGAGGAAUUUCAGGCCAUGAUCCCUGCUCAUUUCCUACGACCUCCGACAUCCUCGCCCUCACCAGACUCCCACCAGGGCCCUGUCGUCACAGUGACUAUCAAGCAACCCGAUAAUCUCCCAAGGGAUAUUAACUUCCCCCCGGCGCCAACCACCAUUGGCAAAGUUACCGAGACCAUCACAAAGAGCACCCUUACUGAAACAGUGGUCACUAGAGUCACCGACAACGAGCUGGUUCACCCAGUCAUCAUUGAGGAUGUCGUGCUGGUAAAGGAAGGAUCUCUUGGAUUCAGUAUUAUUGGCGGAACAGACCAUUCGUGUAUACCAUUUGGAGUUAAGGAGCCUGGAAUUUUUAUAUCUCACGUUGUACCUGAUGGCAUAGCUGCGAAUUCUGGAAAGCUGAGAAUGGGUGAUAGAAUAUUAAAAGUAAAUGGGACAGACGUAACAAAAGCUACUCACCAGGAAGCUGUGAUGGAACUUCUGCGGCCUGGUGAUUUCAUUACACUCACCAUCCGACACGAUCCAUUGCCAGAUAGUUACCAACUGGUCGAAAUAGAGUACAUUCCAGUAACAGAAUUAACAAUAAUCAAAGAGCCAGGAGAAAAACUUGGGAUGCACAUAAAAGGAGGAUUAAGAGGGCAACGUGGUAAUCCCUUAGAUCAUACUGACGAAGGCGUUUUCAUUUCAAAAAUCAAUUCUGGAGGUGCGGCCAAAAGGGAUAGCAGGUUGAAGGUUGGAAUGAGGUUAUUGGAAGUUAACGGUACGUCCUUAUUGGGCGCGACGCAUCAAGAAGCAGUUAAUAUUCUCCGAUGCUCAGGAAAUACGAUAACUUUGGUGGUCUGUAAAGGAUACGACAAAAACGACUUGGAGCAAGCACUGUAUACGUCUAAAGGGAGGGAUUCUAAAGAGUCACGAGGAUCUCGAGAAUACAAGGAUUCUACAACCGACGAGGUAAAGUCCUUGUCACAGAGUGUUUCCAGUUUGGAUCGUGAGGAUGAGGAUACAGCUACAAUGCGGCAAGAGCAGGAAAUGAAAGCUGAAUUGGUUGCCUGGGAACAAGAAGAACGAGAACGAGCUAUGAUGGAGUACAGAGAAAAAUCUACGCAAGAAAAGGUGUUAGAUGUUGUAAGGGCAGCAGAAUCUCUGGUGAACAAACCAAACAGUCCGGUCGAUAUGCAUGUACCUCCCAAGUCUCCUGGUGGUACAAAAGACCUGAAAACGACUACUAUUGUCAUGACCAAACAUACCUUAGCACCCCAGAACUCCACUUUAAUUAGCAAAGAAGCCGCUGCAGGAACAUCUGUGGAUGGUGUAGUCUUCUCGAUUCCUCCAACCUCUUCUACUCAUUCCACUCCCUAUACCCAAAUCACAAACCAUGAUUUUCACUCUGCAAUGCAAACCUUACCCUCCCCCUACUCCGGAACAGCACCCAGUAGAUCUAAAUGUACUGUUACUUCAGCAACACUUCCAAUGGCUUCUAAAACUACAGAAACCACGGGGGAUGAGUUAUUCCCACACUGUAAUGUAGCAUUAUCAUCAGUCAAAACAACAUUUAUUGAUUCAUCAGUACCUUACAUUCAGCCUCCAAAAUUCCGAAUUCAACAGCGUCCAUUAUCCACGCUUGAACCAAGUUUGUCUCCCGAAGAAGCUGUUCCCCAAAAACGAUUUUCUAUUAAUGACCCUUUUGACAAUCAUCGCUCACGCCCCACUAGACUUCCCCCGACGCCACUGACCAGCCCUGGGUACAUUGAAGAAAUCAUUCCUUCUCAUCCUCCUCCCUCCAGAGAAUUACCGCAGAUUGCACGCUCUGUACACUGGAAAUCUCAGGUUGAGCCCACGUCAACGCCAUCUCCACCUCCCGCUUCGACAAAGAUGUCCGUUAGCGAUCGGAAAAGAUUAUUUGAAUCUGCUAUGGAGGAGCACCUGAAACCUUCUCCAAAACCAGAGAAGGUGUUCAGCUUUCUGAGCCAAGAUGAAGUUGAGAACAUGAAACAAGAAGAAGAAAGAAAAAUUGCCACGUUAACACGAGAUGAAUUGAAGUCAUGGGCUCAGAUUGACGAAAAUGAGGUAUUAGAAGAGCCAGAGGAUAUGAUGGAGGAGCAGGAUGACAGAAGACCUAAUAGCCGACUGUCUUCACGAAGUCCUCAUCCUCUAUUACACAACGCACCAAGUAUCGUCAGGACUGCCAAAGCUGAACGACGCUUGAAGGAAAGAAUGAUACAAGAGGGCUUAAUUUCGGAUGAAGACGAAGAUAGCCAACUAUCUCCUGCCAAACAACGAGCACUGAGAGCGGAAAAACGAGCUGCUUGGAGACAAGCACGACUUAAGUCUCUCGAGCAGGAUGCUCUCCAAGCACAAAUAGUGAUCAAGAAGAUGAACGAGAUGAUGGAUACAUCUGGAAAGACAGAUAAUUUGGCUGAAUUGACAGUCACAGCUGCAGAGCCACCAACGGAACCAGAGAAUGUGACGGAAUUCGCUACAUUACGACCGUCUAGUGCAGAUUUUCCUAAGCUUGCUGUGCGCAGCAAGAUUGGCCCCCCAAAGGCUGUACGUGAAUGUGAAAAAGUAGUGGAUGAAAAGGUCACUCGACGCACCGAAGAGUAUGUGGACGAAGUGACGGGUGAACGCCGUGUGCGAACCGUUGAAUACGUCGAGAAGCUGAUUGAGCAUGAGAUUCCAACACUCUCACUGGGAAUGCAACCUGCACUGCCUUGAGCCACUCAUUUUCUUUCUACUGAUUACUGACACACUGUUCUCCGGCUAGCGGUCGAAACUCUCAGAGAAAAAAUUAUUUCACUGGAGCUCAGUAAUGCCGAAGAGGAAGCUGAUAGUAUCGGAGAAACUGGUGCCAGCGAUGCUGAAAGUGAGAGCGAAGAUCCCACAGCUCAAACUUCUGUGAGUACACCCGUGGAAGAGAAAGACACCGAGUCUCAUAUUUCCACACCAAUCAAUGUUAAUCUCCCAGCGACUAUA